UAGUUAUCAGCUAAUAACUUCUCAGCAUUUGUAAGUCAAUUUGCUGAAUUGCCUAGAAAUUCUCAGUUUCAUGCAGAAAUUAAUGUGUGACUUUGUAUAACACAUACAAUUUUAGCCUUUAAUGUAGCAAACUCUCUAUAUUUUCAACAUUGCUGAAGUAACUCACAUUCUUAGUUGUUUUAUUGAAUUUCUGGAUAAAGUUUUCCUGAUUGUCUGCAUGCCUGUAGUCAGUUCAAUGCUUUUGAGUAGAUCACCUGUAAUGAAAAAAAGAUGUGUUUUAUUUAUUCUAAUAUUAUGUAUUGAUACAGUUAAGUGCUUUUGGAGGUGUUUUCUAUGGAACCUUUUUAUGACGUUUGCAGUCAUUGGUGCCCAGUUAUCUGCUGAGAUUAGAGAGGGGAUUUAUUUACAAUUUUUAAAAAUGUACUUUAAAAAAAUCAUUGUUCAUCUGAGUGGUGUGCAUUGAGCUUUCAAUGUGCUUUCAUGUCUCACUUGCGGAAUUUUAGCCUUGUUCUUGAACGUAAUGGCACUGCUGAAAAGCUGUAGGGCUUCAUUGUCUUCUGAGGCUGAUACAAUCUGUGUACUCAAAGUGUGAUAAAGUUCAUGAUGAUGUGGUUAAGAUGUUAUUUUCUGCACACUUCUAGAAAGAGAGCUGUCUCCAAAAAUGAGAAAAAGAAAAAUGGCAAGCAGAUAAACCAAAGGAAGAGCUGUUUUCAGCUAAAGAUCCUCUCUGGGAUUUUAGGAAUGUUGAGACGUGCUGGUUAUAAAGCCCUAAGUACAAAAUGGUCACGGAUGGCUGGAAUGAGGCAUGUUCUAAUGGAAACAAAUCACUUGUCAGUAAGCAGCCUUCAAACUUUUGAACAAAAGCUCAAAAGGGUCAGGGAAAAGACAUUGUUUGUUGAUUUAAAAUGGCUGGAUGCAGGUCAUGAGGAAGGCAUAGACUUCAAUAUUGUUGAGGUAACUGUGAGUUUUAAACAAGGUUAAAUACUUUGAUGGCAACCACAAAUGGAAUGAGGAACUUAAAUUAAACAGAAAGCUCACACAUUAUAGAGUGAAGUGUGCAUAAUACUAAAAUGUAAAGCACGUAUACCAGUGCAAAACGGCCACAGAAUUGAGCUCAGCUGUGGGAACUUUAUUUAGUUAUGUAGACAUGACUGUGAGGAAGACUGUGCUGUAUCUACUGAAAUUUAGAAGGGUGACCAGUAUUCCUGUAGGUGCCUGUGAUUCAUUGAUAUUUUAGUUAGUUAAAAUAGUGUAGCCUAGCCUUAUGGUGAGUUGAUGAUAAAUCCAAAUCCCAGUUCUGUUUAUUCACCUUUCUGUAGGUUUUAACUCUAAGUGAAAUUUUUCAAUGCAGGAGUUAAUCUUUUUAUAUUUGCUUGCAAAACCCAUAAUGAGGUUCAUGACCCCUAGAACAACUAUAAUGAGGGAUCAGCUCUUCUUUUUCCUGUGUAAUAUUUUGUGUUGCUCUCUGAAAUGAAAAAUGUUAGUGUAUAAUAAAUUGAAUAAGGUGGAUGAAUUACA
RNAcentral lists this long non-coding RNA (1518 nucleotides) under Zonotrichia albicollis (white-throated sparrow). RNAcentral describes it as "lncRNA (ENSZALG00000000517.1)". Lineage: Eukaryota; Metazoa; Chordata; Aves; Passeriformes; Passerellidae. The record is from RNAcentral.